AGUGAACGCUGGCGGUAGGCCUAACACAUGCAAGUCGAACGGCAGCACAGUAAGAGCUUGCUCUUACGGGUGGCGAGUGGCGGACGGGUGAGGAAUACAUCGGAAUCUACUUUUUCGUGGGGGAUAACGUAGGGAAACUUCCGCUAAUACCUCAUACGUCCUACGGGUUAAAUCAGGGGAUCUUCGGACCUUGCGCGAUUGAAUUAGCCGAUGUCGGAUUAGCUAGUUGGCGGGGUAAAGGCCCACCAAGGCAACGAUCCGUAGCUGGUCUGAGAGGAUGAUCAGCCACACUGGAACUGAGACACGGUCCAGACUCCUACGGGAGGCAGCAGUGGGGAAUAUUGGACAAUGGGCGAAAGCCUGAUCCAGCCAUACCGCGUGAGUGAAGAAGGCCUUCGGGUUGUAAAGCCCUUUUGUUGGGAAAGAAAAGCAGCAGGUUAAUACCCCGCUGUUCUGACGGUACCCAAAGAAUAAGCACCGGCUAACUUCGUG
Molecule: ribosomal RNA, 492 nt
Filed under: uncultured bacterium
Lineage: Bacteria
Description: partial 16S ribosomal RNA
Rfam family: Bacterial small subunit ribosomal RNA
Source: RNAcentral